Molecule: microRNA precursor, 206 nt
Filed under: Oryza glumipatula
Lineage: Eukaryota; Viridiplantae; Streptophyta; Magnoliopsida; Poales; Poaceae
Description: MIR812 microRNA precursor family
Rfam family: MIR812 microRNA precursor family
Source: Rfam by way of RNAcentral
AAAAAGGGCAAACCCUGGGUUUCCGUGUCCAACAUUGAUUGUCCGUCUUAUAUAAAAAAAUUUUAUAAUUCGUAUUUUCAUUGUUGUUAGAUGAUAAAACAUGAUUAAUAUUUUAUGCGUGACUUGUCUUUUUAAUUUUUUUCAUAAUUUUUUCAAAUAAAACGGACGGUCAAACGUUGGGCACGGAUACAAGGGUUUGUCUUUUU